GCUUACGGCCACACCGCCUGGUUCACGCCCGAUCUCGCUUUGAUCUCGGAAGCUAAGGUAGGUUGGGCCUGGUUAGUACUUGGAUGGGAGACCGCCUGGGAAUACCAGGUGCUGUAAAGC
RNAcentral lists this ribosomal RNA (120 nucleotides) under Scophthalmus maximus (turbot). Lineage: Eukaryota; Metazoa; Chordata; Actinopteri; Pleuronectiformes; Scophthalmidae. The record is from RNAcentral.